UACCAGCACCCCGAGUGGUCGGGACGAUUAUUGGGCCUAAAGCAUCCGUAGCCGGUCUUGCAAGUCUUCCGUUAAAUCCACCUGCUUAACAGAUGGGCUGCGGAAGAUACUACAAGACUAGGAGGCGGGAGAGGCAAGCGGUACUCAGUGGGUAGGGGUAAAAUCCUCUGAUCCAUUGAAGACCACCAGUGGCGAAGGCGGCUUGCCAGAACGCGCUCGACGGUGAGGGAUCAAAGCUGGGGGAGCAAACCGG
RNAcentral lists this ribosomal RNA (253 nucleotides) under uncultured bacterium. RNAcentral describes it as "partial 16S ribosomal RNA". It matches the Rfam family "Archaeal small subunit ribosomal RNA", at positions 474 to 727 of the family's 1478-position model. The record is from RNAcentral.